GAUGAACGCUGGCGGCGUGCCUAAUACAUGCAAGUCGAGCGAACGGACGAGAAGCUUGCUUCUCUGAUGUUAGCGGCGGACGGGUGAGUAACACGUGGAUAACCUACCUAUAAGACUGGGAUAACUUCGGGAAACCGGAGCUAAUACCGGAUAAUAUUUUGAACCGCAUGGUUCAAAAGUGAAAGACGGUCUUGCUGUCACUUAUAGAUGGAUCCGCGCUGCAUUAGCUAGUUGGUAAGGUAACGGCUUACCAAGGCAACGAUGCAUAGCCGACCUGAGAGGGUGACGGCCCACACUGGAACUGAGAACCGGCCCAGACCCCUACGGGGGGCAGAAGGAGGGAAUCUUCCGCAAUGGGCGAAAGCCGGACGGAGAAACGCCGGGGGAGGGAUGAAGGUCUUCGGAUCUAAAAACUUUUUUAUGAGGGAAGAACAAAUGUGUAAGUAACUGUGCACAUCUUGACGGUACCUAAUCAGAAAGCCACGGCUAACUACGUG
Molecule: ribosomal RNA, 497 nt
Filed under: uncultured bacterium
Lineage: Bacteria
Description: partial 16S ribosomal RNA
Rfam family: Bacterial small subunit ribosomal RNA
Source: RNAcentral